UGAUGAACACGGAAAGUGGAAGUGCUAGUGAAAUACAUUUUAAGGAAUCUACGCCAUUAAUUAAUCAUAUGCCUUCGGUUCCUGAAAAUGUUGCUAAAUACCAAAGUAAUAGUUUUCUAAAUUCUGGAUGUUCAGCUUCAACAUCAUGUCCACGCUUGCACAGAUAUUCAAGCUCAAGCAGCACCCGAAGAAACGAACCUGUCCCAGAUUAUGGUGAAACGGGAAAUCCGUUAGCGACUCUACUAAGCAUCACAAUCAACGUUUUUACGGAAUCCGAUUGUUACGAUCGAUUAUUAUGUGCAAUUUGUUUGAUUGUAUUAUGUUUCGGGGGUACCAUCGGUAUUUACCUCUUAUAUCUUGAAAAUAAAUAUAGACAUUUUA
Anthonomus grandis grandis is the source of this 381-nucleotide long non-coding RNA. RefSeq lists it as uncharacterized. The record is from RefSeq and is a predicted model, not a curated record. The transcript is spliced from 2 exons. Lineage: Eukaryota; Metazoa; Arthropoda; Insecta; Coleoptera; Curculionidae.